This 695-nucleotide ribosomal RNA is filed under the name Scytodes sp. 59 YFL-2022a. Its description in RNAcentral is "partial large subunit ribosomal RNA". The stretch from base 453 to 695 matches the Rfam family "Eukaryotic large subunit ribosomal RNA", at positions 665 to 884 of the family's 3401-position model. The record is from RNAcentral. Lineage: Eukaryota; Metazoa; Arthropoda; Arachnida; Araneae; Scytodidae.
UCGGGAGAGCCGGGGCGCUCGGGCGAUCGAUACGACAAGGGACCUCUAACUGGGCCCGAUCGCUCGGCGACAAACCCUCGGCGAGCCCGACGCAUUUCCCCCCGCACUGCGGACGCCGCAACCGGUCGGGUAGCAGCGAGCGUCGGCCAAGAGGGCGGACGACGGCAGGUGACGGAGUCGGCCUCUAUACGAGGUCGGUCCUCCGUUGUUAGCCGGUUCCGCCCGUGGCGCGACACCCGACCGAGGUCGAAGUUCCCGAUCACCGGGAACACUCGACGCCCCCUUCCCGAGCGGGAGUGCCGGCAGGCGUUCAUCGCGGCGACGGCGAGUCACCCACCGCGGUGGCCGUCCGCGUCGCGGUCGCCGGUGGCAGGUCACUGGCCCCGCGGGGGUGCGAAAGAUGGUUGGCGGCGAGUAGGUCGGUCACCCACCCGACCCGUCUUGAAACACGGACCAAGGAGUCUAACAUGUGCGCGAGUCACGGGGUCUUGAACAGGCCCGGAGGCGCAAUGAAAGUGAAGGUCGAGAUGACUCGACCGAGUUGGGAUCCGAGUGAUGUCGGAGCACCAACGGCCCGCUCCGACCGGUACUAACGGUGGAGCGGAGUCCGAGCGUACACGUUGGGACCCGAAAGAUGGUGAACUAUGCCUGGGCAGGACGAAGCCAGAGGAAACUCUGGUGGAGGUCCGAGCGGU